RNAcentral lists this ribosomal RNA (351 nucleotides) under uncultured bacterium. RNAcentral describes it as "bacterial SSU rRNA". It matches the Rfam family "Bacterial small subunit ribosomal RNA", at positions 8 to 349 of the family's 1533-position model. The record is from RNAcentral.
AGAGUUUGAUCCUGGCUCAGGAUGAACGCUAGCUACAGGCUUAACACAUGCAAGUCGAGGGGAAACGACAUCGAAAGCUUGCUUUUGAUGGGCGUCGACCGGCGCACGGGUGAGUAACGCGUAUCCAACCUGCCCAUCACUUGGGGAUAACCUUGCGAAAGUAAGACUAAUACCCAAUGACGUCUCUAGAAGACAUCUGAAAGAGAUUAAAGAUUUAUCGGUGAUGGAUGGGGAUGCGUCUGAUUAGCUUGGUUGGCGGGGUAACGGCCACAAGGCGACGAUCAGUAGGGUUCUGAGAGGAGGUCCCCCANAUUGGAACUGAGACACGGUCCAAACUCCGUAACGGGAGCA